UACAGAGGUCCCAAGCGUUGUUCGGAUUCACUGGGCGUAAAGGGUGCGUAGGUGGCCAGGUAAGUUCGGUGUGAAAGCUCGGAGCUUAACUCCGAAGUGGCACUGAAUACUAUCUGGCUAGAGGGUCGGAGGGGAGACUGGAAUUCUCGGUGUAGCAGUGAAAUGCGUAGAUAUCGAGAGGAACACCAGUGGCGAAGGCGAGUCUCUGGACGACUCCUGACACUGAGGCACGAAAGCCAGGGGAGCAAACAGG
RNAcentral lists this ribosomal RNA (253 nucleotides) under uncultured bacterium. RNAcentral's name for it is "partial 16S ribosomal RNA". It matches the Rfam family "Bacterial small subunit ribosomal RNA", at positions 524 to 776 of the family's 1533-position model. The record is from RNAcentral.